AUUGAACGCUGGCGGCAGGCCUAACACAUGCAAGUCGGACGAGUGGCGGACGGGUGAGUAAUGUCUGGGAAACUGCCAGAUGGAGGGGGAUAACUACUGGAAACGGUAGCUAAUACCGCAUACCAUCGGAUGUGCCCAGAUGGGAUUAGCUAGUAGGUGGGGUAACGGCUUACCUAGGCGACGAGCCCUAGCUGGUCUGAGAGGAUGACCAGCCACACUGGAACUGAGACACGGCCCAGACUCCUACGGGAGGCAGCAGUGGGGAAUAUUGCACAAUGGGCGCAAGCCUGAUGCAGCCAUGCCGCGUGUAGGAAGAAGGCCUUCGGGUUGUAAAGUACUUUCAGCGAGGAGACGUUACUCGCAGAAGAAGCACCGGCUAACUCCGUGCCAGCAGCCGCGGUAAUUC
RNAcentral lists this ribosomal RNA (406 nucleotides) under uncultured bacterium. Its description in RNAcentral is "partial 16S ribosomal RNA". It matches the Rfam family "Bacterial small subunit ribosomal RNA", at positions 30 to 526 of the family's 1533-position model. The record is from RNAcentral.